This 388-nucleotide long non-coding RNA is filed under the name Sinocyclocheilus grahami. RNAcentral describes it as "lncRNA (ENSSGRG00000007737.1)". Lineage: Eukaryota; Metazoa; Chordata; Actinopteri; Cypriniformes; Cyprinidae. The record is from RNAcentral.
AUGGUCUACUGUUACAGGAAGAUCGCAGCAGCUGGAGAGGAAGCUCUGAGAGAGAGCGAGACCAAAAAAAGUCUCAAGUCAAAAGCUUGACGCUCUGUCCAUCAUGGCAUCACCAAUGGCCUCCUCGGUCACCCUCACCGGCUCUCUGUGAAACCACAGGGCUGCUGUUUUUACCGUUGUGUACGACUGUGACAGAACCGCCAUUCUAAACCAUCAGGGAAACACACAGUCACACAUUACAUAAAAAGGAAAUGUUUUGUUUUAAGGCUCUAGAUGACAACUUUGAGGUUAACGAAUGAAUGAUGCAUUCACUGGUUCAAGCAUGAAUCUGUAACACUUAACAGAACACUGAACUUGACUUGUACAUACGUGUUUGAGCUUUUAACAU